Molecule: ribosomal RNA, 515 nt
Filed under: uncultured bacterium
Lineage: Bacteria
Description: bacterial SSU rRNA
Rfam family: Bacterial small subunit ribosomal RNA
Source: RNAcentral
GAUGAACGCUAGCGGGAGGCUUAACACAUGCAAGUCGAGGGGCAGCAUAGGGUAGCAAUACUCUGAUGGCGACCGGCAAACGGGUGAGUAACGCGUAUGCAACCUACCCUGUACAGGGGGAUAACCCGGAGAAAUUCGGACUAAUAUCCCGUAAUAAUAUCCGGAGGCAUCUUUGGAUAUUUAAAGUUCCGACGGUACGGGAUGGGCAUGCGUAACAUUAACUGGUUGGUAAGGUAACGGCUUACCAAGGCUAUGAUGUUUAGGGGUCCUGAGAGGGUGGUCCCCCACACUGGUACUGAGACACGGACCAGACUCCUACGGGAGGCAGCAGUGAGGAAUAUUGGUCAAUGGGCGCAAGCCUGAACCAGCCAUCCCGCGUGCAGGAAGACGGCCCUAUGGGUUGUAAACUGCUUUUCCAGGGAGAGAAACUUACGCACGUGUUGCGUGACUGACGGUACCCUGGGAAUAAGCAUCGGCUAACUCCGUGCCAGCAGCCGCGGUAAAACGUCACGUCG